Molecule: transfer RNA, 77 nt
Filed under: bacterium
Lineage: Bacteria
Description: tRNA-Arg
Rfam family: tRNA
About the family: Transfer RNA (tRNA) molecules are approximately 80 nucleotides in length.
Source: RNAcentral
GCACCCAUAGCUCAGCUGAAUAGAGCGUUGGUUUCCGGAGCCAAAGGUCAGAGGUUUGAAUCCUCUUGGGUGCACCA